This 259-nucleotide ribosomal RNA is filed under the name uncultured bacterium. Its description in RNAcentral is "partial 16S ribosomal RNA". It matches the Rfam family "Bacterial small subunit ribosomal RNA", at positions 524 to 782 of the family's 1533-position model. The record is from RNAcentral.
UACGUAGGGGGCAAGCGUUGUCCGGAUUUAUUGGGCGUAAAGAGCGUGUAGGCGGCCAGGUAGGUCAGCUGUGAAAACUCGAGGCUCAACCUCGAGACGUCGGUUGAAACCACCUGGCUAGAGUCCGGAAGAGGAGAGUGGAAUUCCUGGUGUAGCGGUGAAAUGCGCAGAUAUCAGGAAGAACACCCGUGGCGAAGGCGGCUCUCUGGGACGGUACUGACGCUGAGACGCGAAAGCGUGGGGAGCGAACAGGAUUAGA